UACAAGCCUUGGUGAAGGGGGGCGGUCAUGCUCAAAACUGGCUCGAGACACAGUAGUGCUCUUACGAGAGGUACAUUUACUCAGUCUGCUGGGCUUUUUAAUCAUUAUUAUUUUUUCAGUAAAUGGAGGGACUCCAGAGACCGAGAAUGGAACAGCUGAACAACGGGGCUCUUCUCCAGCGCUGCCCUGACGAGCGAUCCCACCCCUCACGGCGCUGGAAGUAAAGGCAGACUGAGUCUGUCACACACAUUCCCAGGCCCAGCAGAGCGACGACGAUGGACCGGACCCUUCAAGGCCGCACAGCACGACGCCCGAUGGGGAGAGGUGAGCAGUCCACCAAAUCUGAUGCGACCAGUUUUAAAAACCCCAAGCUGGGUUCGCAGUAAACCGCUAACCAGCUUAAAUGGCAACACACUGGAGGAGAUUAAGUAAGCGGUGGGGAGCAGAUGGAAUGAAAUCCUGAGCGCAUGAACGACAUCAUGGAGCCAGGUAAGGGGAGACCUAAUGGAAUAGGAGGGGAGCAGCUUGGGAUUAUUACAAUGGGUGGGUUUUUAAGGGGGGGGGGCAGGAAUCUGGGACAGAGCAAUAUCCACUGAACUGUAAAGGGUGGAAGCAGGUGAGGUAGUGUAGGAGUAUAGGGGGCCCGUCUUUGGCUAGCUGUGGAGAGAGAUGCCUUUAACUCAGGGGUGGGACCACUGGCCCCAGCUGAAAGCUGACUGCCCCCCCUGGAACACAGGUCUACUCCCCUGUCAUUCCCCGAUUCAAAGCAUAUCACUGGCUAAUAAGGUUGGGUGCCUCUGUAUGAAUUAUGCCCUCUUGCCUAAAAAAAAAAAAAAACAUCUAGAAUCACCC
This is a long non-coding RNA of Brienomyrus brachyistius, 852 nucleotides long. RefSeq lists it as uncharacterized. NCBI's taxonomy places the organism in Eukaryota, Metazoa, Chordata, Actinopteri, Osteoglossiformes, Mormyridae. The record is from RefSeq and is a predicted model, not a curated record. The transcript has 2 exons.